UUUUUGCCGCUUAUAUUUUUCAUCUCACCUUCUACCCUCUAUCUAUUCAUNUUCUCCAAGAAAGAACUGUUUGAUUUUUUUCUCCUUGACGACUCUGUAACCAACCCAGAAUGCCAACCAUCACAUCUCUGACCUCUCCAGCACCGUUUCGUGGAGUGCACCUUCAACAUUUGAAAGACAAUUCCAAUUAGAACUUCCUCUUUUGUAUCGAUACCUCAUUGAUGCUCCUUCUGGUAAGUUAUAACAGGGUCAGGAACUUUUUAAACUUUAGGGUUUNGGGAAGGAAAAGGGAAGACAUGAUUAUGGCUAACACUGAUGAUUAGAUAUAGUACUAAAUUACUAAUUAGGUCUGUUAGAAGGACGUGAUUCAUUGGAUGUGGCCUCUUUUCACAGAAANUUAGAGAUCAUGGAGAAAUGAUGUCUUGCAUCUUAGUCCAUGUCCUUUUUACUGUUAGUGUUUUCUAUUAUUUUUUCUGCCUUAAAAUAUAAUUUCUAUGCCUACUAGUUUGUGUUUUAAAAAAUUAUAUGCUACCUUAGUUAGGUUGUUAUAGGCACGUGCCCUUGCUGAGAAGUAUGGGGCACAAUCAAGAGCAGGAACAAACCCUCUCUUUUGGUUCCACAAUCAAGUAACGUUAACUGCUUUCGAUUCUUUUUCAUUUUCGUGUUUGUCAAUUGAAUUCGAUGCAUUUUACUUUUGUCAUCA
Molecule: long non-coding RNA, 703 nt
Organism: Vigna radiata var. radiata (mung bean)
Lineage: Eukaryota; Viridiplantae; Streptophyta; Magnoliopsida; Fabales; Fabaceae
Exons: 4
Source: RefSeq, a predicted model, not a curated record